RNAcentral lists this unclassified non-coding RNA (346 nucleotides) under soil metagenome. Its description in RNAcentral is "partial contains 5.8S ribosomal RNA, internal transcribed spacer 2, and large subunit ribosomal RNA". The stretch from base 1 to 120 matches the Rfam family "5.8S ribosomal RNA", at positions 35 to 154 of the family's 154-position model. The record is from RNAcentral.
GAUGAAGAACGCAGCGAAAUGCGAUACGUAAUGUGAAUUACAGAAUUCAGUGAAUCAUCGAGUCUUUGAACGCACAUUGCGCCCCCUGGUAUUCCGGGGGGCAUGCCUGUCCGAGCGUCAUUGCUGCCCUCAAGCCCGGCUUGUGUGUUGGGUCUCGUCCCCCUUCCCGGGGGGACGGGCCCGAAAGGCAGCGGCGGCACCGCGUCCGGUCCUCGAGCGUAUGGGGCUUUGUCACCCGCUCUGUAGGCCCGGCCGGCGCUUGCCGAUCAACCAAAACUUUUUUCCAGGUUGACCUCGGAUCAGGUAGGGAUACCCGCUGAACUUAAGCAUAUCAAUAAGCGGAGGA